GGAGGCAAUCGGGGGAAAAGGAUUUUAUUUUUCAUCUGAUUACCAUCAUUUUCUCUCCCUCUCUCGGGUCUAAGAGUGGGAUGGAUGUAGGAAGAGGAAGGAGUUGUACUAAUAUGGGUUACUGAAAUGUUAUUGGCCCAUGUUAAAUACAGAAAUGGAGGGUUUAGAAAUGUUUAAGGUGAUUUUACUUUGCCACAGUGUCCAAGCACCUGAUCAAUGGACUUGUCUUGAUGAAGAGGGCAGUGGUGAGCAUUUGGGGUGCUGUUGAAUUUGUGUGGUGGCUCACACACACUAGGACCACAUAUCCUCCCUCAAAAUUUUGGAAAUUUUAAAAAACUCAUCCUUAACUGCAGAGAGUUUAUAAAAUAUAUUGUCAAAGAUAACAUAGCCCUAGUCACAUGGUAAGGAAAAGCCAACAAUCAAGAAAUGCUUGGAAACUGAGAAAUGGUAAAGGCAGGAGUACAAAGGAGGUGAAGAGAAUGGUCACGGUAGGUUGAGGUGAAACAGGAAGUCGAUCCUUGGAGAUGAAUCCUCAGAGGGUCUUGAAAAAAAAAGUUGGCAAAUAUUAAGGGGUAGAAGGAUGUUUCAAGAGAGAGGAAGCUGUGAGCGAAGGCAUGGAGGCCUAUGCAGAAGAUGUGAAGGCCAUGCACAUUAUUUGCUGAUUGAAAUAGAAAGGUCAAGAGUCUGGGUUCUGCCAUUUGGCAACCGUCCUAAUGAUAAUUGAUUGAAGUAAGAACAUUAAUGGAUGCUAAGGAGUGGGCAAGUUUGAGAAAUAACAGACUAUUUAGAUAGUCUCAAAGUAUCCGCCCUCCAGAUUCUUAAUGACAAAGCAAAACUAAUAACCCUCCAAUGAUAAAACCUAGCAGAUACCACCUUAAUUAACUGAUCAGUUAGUGUUACAAGAGAUGAGAAAAAUCCACAGCAUUUGCCUCCUGAUGUGAUGCACUGGGGAAAACACAACAACACAACAUCAUAUUUGUGUUAUUCCUGCAAAAAAAAAAAAAAUAGCAUAACCUAAAUCUACUCAUGAGGAAACAUCACGCAAAUGUCACUUGAAAAACAUUCUACAAAAUAGCUGGUCCGUAUUCUUCAAAAAUGUCAAUAUCAUGAAAGACAAAGAUUGAGGAAGUGUUGCAGAUUAAAGGAGACUGCAGACACGUGACAACUGAAUGCAAUGCAUGACGUGGGAUUAUCUUUUGCUUUAAAGCAAAAUGUUGUUCUUUAAAGGACAGUUUUGGGACAAUUGGUGAAAUCUGAAUAAGGAUAAAGACAGAGGAACAAAUACCAGACCAGCAAACUUACCUGAAUCCAGCUGCCCUCAGAAUAUGGCUGAGGCUUGGUCAAAGCCCAGAACUUAGCAAGGGUUAGAGGACAUCAUGGGACCAUAUUCCCAGUCACUCCAGGUUUGAGAAACAAUUCCACAACCGCUCUUCUCCCAUCAAGCUAAUACAUUUUGAGGAAAAACUCAAGAUUUCAAGAAAUAGGCUCUCGGACACAAUUCUGUGGGGGAGGCUGUUGGCUUACCAGUUGCAAGGAGUGAAUCUCAAGAGAUUCAGAAGCUCAAUCUGAAUAAACAACCAAAACUUUGGAGGCUUAUCAAAACUCUGGCAAAACUAGGCCAGAAGUGGACUCUAUUUUCUAGUGAGGUUUCCAGUAUUUUCUGUUUCCAGUGGAACUGGACUAGCUCAGGAAGAUUCUACUAAUGACUAGAACCAACUGGACAUAACUGGAGAACACAGAAAGAUUGAAACAAAAAAACAAGAACAAAAACAUGAGAAAAGAUAGUGUGUGCUGUUUCCAGCUGCAAGAGAGAUGAAGAUCAUUCAAACAUGGUGCUGAAAGUAAGUUGACCUGUUACUUCUAUUUUCCUAGAAAAAAAGUCUGAAGGGUUUUA
This is a long non-coding RNA of Pan troglodytes (chimpanzee), 1894 nucleotides long. RefSeq lists it as uncharacterized. The transcript is spliced from 4 exons. The record is from RefSeq and is a predicted model, not a curated record. Lineage: Eukaryota; Metazoa; Chordata; Mammalia; Primates; Hominidae.